Molecule: transfer RNA, 64 nt
Filed under: Homologenus malayensis
Lineage: Eukaryota; Metazoa; Arthropoda; Malacostraca; Decapoda; Homolidae
Description: tRNA-Phe
Source: RNAcentral
AUUUAUAUAAUUUAUAUAGAAUGUUGCGUUGAAGUUGCAAGAGAAGUUUUUAAACUUAUAAAUG